RNAcentral lists this ribosomal RNA (504 nucleotides) under uncultured bacterium. RNAcentral describes it as "partial 16S ribosomal RNA". It matches the Rfam family "Bacterial small subunit ribosomal RNA", at positions 30 to 523 of the family's 1533-position model. The record is from RNAcentral.
AUUGAACGCUGGCGGCAGGCCUAACACAUGCAAGUCGAGCGGUAGCACAGAGAGCUUGCUCUCGGGUGACGAGCGGCGGACGGGUGAGUAAUGUCUGGGAAACUGCCUGAUGGAGGGGGAUAACUACUGGAAACGGUAGCUAAUACCGCAUAACGUCGCAAGACCAAAGAGGGGGACCUUCGGGCCUCUUGCCAUCAGAUGUGCCCAGACGGGAUUAGCUAGUAGGUGGGGUAACGGCUCACCUAGGCGACGAUCCCUAGCUGGUCUGAGAGGAUGACCAGCCACACGGGAACUGAGACACGGUCCAGACUCCUACGGGAGGCAGCAGUGGGGAAUAUUGCACAAUGGGCGCAAGCCUGAUGCAGCCAUGCCGCGUGUAUGAAGAAGGCCUUCGGGUUGUAAAGUACUUUCAGCGGGGAGGAAGGUGUUGAGGUUAAUAACCUCAGCAAUUGACGUUACCCGCAGAAGAAGCACCGGCUAACUCCGUGCCAGCCGCCGCCGUAA